This 253-nucleotide ribosomal RNA is filed under the name uncultured bacterium. RNAcentral's name for it is "partial 16S ribosomal RNA". It matches the Rfam family "Bacterial small subunit ribosomal RNA", at positions 524 to 776 of the family's 1533-position model. The record is from RNAcentral.
UACGUAGGGGGCAAGCGUUGUCCGGAUUUAUUGGGCGUAAAGAGCGUGUAGGCGGUCUGGUAGGUCCGUUGUGAAAACUCGAGGCUCAACCUCGAGACGCCGAUGGAAACCGUCUGGCUAGAGUCCGGAAGAGGAGAGUGGAAUUCCUGGUGUAGCGGUGAAAUGCGCAGAUAUCAGGAAGAACACCCGUGGCUAAGGCGGCUCUCUAGUACGGUACUGACGCUGAGACGCGAAAGCGUGGGGAGCGAACAGG